GUGUUUACUUCAGCAGGACAUAUGUUAAAAUUAGAACAAAAUGAAGAAGAGUAACUAAGGUGGCUCCUGCACAAGGGUGACACACAAAUUCAUGAAGCGUUACAUAUUUUU
Small nuclear RNA from Bison bison bison, 111 nucleotides. NCBI's taxonomy places the organism in Eukaryota, Metazoa, Chordata, Mammalia, Artiodactyla, Bovidae. The record is from Ensembl.